GAUGAACGCUGGCGGCGUGCCUAAUACAUGCAAGUCGAGCGAACGGACGAGAAGCUUGCUUUUCUGAUGUUAGCGGCGGACGGGUGAGUAACACGUGGAUAACCUACCUAUAAGACUGGGAUAACUUCGGGAAACCGGAGCUAAUACCGGAUAAUAUUUUGAACCGCAUGGUUCAAAAGUGAAAGACGGUCUUGCUGUCACUUAUAGAUGGAUCCGCGCUGCAUUAGCUAGUUGGUAAGGUAACGGCUUACCAAGGCAACGAUGCAUAGCCGACCUGAGAGGGUGAACGGACAAAUGGGAACUGAGCACAGGUCAAGAGGCAGACGGGAGGCGGCAGGAGGGAAUCUGCAGCAAUGGGCGAAAGCCGGACGGAGCAAUGAAGCGUGAGGGAUGAAGGUCUUAGGAUCGGAAAACUCUGUAAGUAGGGAAGAACAAACGUGGAAGGAACUGUGCACGGCGUGACGGUACCUAAUCAGAAAGACACGGCUAACUAAGUG
Molecule: ribosomal RNA, 497 nt
Filed under: uncultured bacterium
Lineage: Bacteria
Description: partial 16S ribosomal RNA
Rfam family: Bacterial small subunit ribosomal RNA
Source: RNAcentral